AAGGCAAGCACGCUACUACUUGAGCCAUAUCCCCAGGCCUAAAGUAACUUUUUUUAAGUUUUGAUUUUUAUUUUUAGUCCUGAAAAGUAGACAGUAAAACAACUUCUGGAAGAAUUUACAACCAACUGCAUGAGAGUCUGGGAAGCUGAGAGGUUGAAGCAGGGCUGAGAGGAGCAGACCAGAAGUCUGACUAAGGAGCAGACUUCCCUUAGUCACUGGAGGCCAAUUGUAACUAAAAAGAGACAAAAAUCAACAAGUGUUUGAAAACCAGGAAAUGACACAGAUUAUCAAGUUAGUAUCAGUUAUAAAAAAUUCAUAUAACCAAGAAAAUAGAGAAAUCAUGA
Molecule: long non-coding RNA, 344 nt
Filed under: Marmota monax (woodchuck)
Lineage: Eukaryota; Metazoa; Chordata; Mammalia; Rodentia; Sciuridae
Source: RNAcentral